This 465-nucleotide ribosomal RNA is filed under the name uncultured bacterium. Its description in RNAcentral is "partial 16S ribosomal RNA". It matches the Rfam family "Bacterial small subunit ribosomal RNA", at positions 28 to 507 of the family's 1533-position model. The record is from RNAcentral.
GACGAACGCUGGCGGCGUGCUUAACACAUGCAAGUCGAACGGAAAGGCCCCAGCUUGCUGGGGUACUCGAGUGGCGAACGGGUGAGUAACACGUGGGUGAUCUGCCCUGCACUCUGGGAUAAGCCUGGGAAACUGGGUCUAAUACCGGAUAGGACCGUGCUUUAGUGUGUGCGGUGGAAAGUUUUUCGGUGCAGGAUGAGCCCGCGGCCUAUCAGCUUGUUGGUGGGGUAAUGGCCUACCAAGGCGGCGACGGGUAGCCGGCCUGAGAGGGUGUACGGCCACAUUGGGACUGAGACACGGCCCAGACUCCUACGGGAGGCAGCAGUGGGGAAUAUUGCACAAUGGGCGCAAGCCUGAUGCAGCGACGCCGCGUGGGGGAUGACGGCCCUCGGGUUGUAAACCCCUUUCGGCAGGGACGAAGCUUUUGUGACGGUACCUGCAUAAGAAGCACCGGCUAACUACGUG